This 1386-nucleotide ribosomal RNA is filed under the name uncultured bacterium. RNAcentral's name for it is "16S ribosomal RNA". It matches the Rfam family "Bacterial small subunit ribosomal RNA". The record is from RNAcentral.
AGAGUUUGAUCCUGGCUCAGGAUGAACGCUGGCGGCGUGCCUAACACAUGCAAGUCGAACGAAGCGCCUUUUGAGAUUCUUCGGAUGAUCGAUCGGUGACUGAGUGGCGGACGGGUGAGUAACGCGUGGGUAACCUGCCCUGUACAGGGGGAUAACAGCUGGAAACGGCUGCUAAUACCGCAUAAGCGCACGAGGAGACAUCUCCUUGUGUGAAAAACUCCGGUGGUACAGGAUGGGCCCGCGUCUGAUUAGCUGGUUGGCAGGGUAACGGCCUACCAAGGCAACGAUCAGUAGCCGGUCUGAGAGGAUGAACGGCCACAUUGGAACUGAGACACGGUCCAAACUCCUACGGGAGGCAGCAGUGGGGAAUAUUGCACAAUGGGGGAAACCCUGAUGCAGCAACGCCGCGUGAGUGAAGAAGUAUUUCGGUAUGUAAAGCUCUAUCAGCAGGGAAGAUAAUGACGGUACCUGACUAAGAAGCUCCGGCUAAAUACGUGCCAGCAGCCGCGGUAAUACGUAUGGUGCAAGCGUUAUCCGGAUUUACUGGGUGUAAAGGGUGCGUAGGUGGUGAGACAAGUCUGAAGUGAAAAUCCGGGGCUUAACCCCGGAACUGCUUUGGAAACUGCCUGACUAGAGUACAGGAGAGGUAAGUGGAAUUCCUAGUGUAGCGGCGAAAUGCGUAGAUAUUAGGAGGAACACCAGUGGCGAAGGCGACUUACUGGACUGCUACUGACACUGAGGCGCGAAAGCGUGGGGAGCAAACAGGAUUAGAUACCCUGGUAGUCCACGCUGUAAACGAUGGAUACUAGGUGUGGGGGGUCUGACCCCCUCCGUGCCGCAGUUAACACAAUAAGUAUCCCACCUGGGGAGUACGAUCGCAAGGUUGAAACUCAAAGGAAUUGACGGGGGCCCGCACAAGCAGCGGAGCAUGUGGUUUAAUUCGAAGCAACGCGAAGAACCUUACCUAGACUUGACAUCUCCUGCAUUACCCUUAAUCGGGAAAGUUCCUUCGGGGACAGGAAGACAGGUGGUGCAUGGUUGUCGUCAGCUCGUGUCGUGAGAUGUUGGGUUAAGUCCCGCAACGAGCGCAACCCUUAUUGUUAGUUGCUACCAUUUAGUUGAGCACUCUAGCGAGACUGCCCGGGUUAACCGGGAGGAAGGUGGGGAUGACGUCAAAUCAUCAUGCCCCUUAUGUCUAGGGCUACACACGUGCUACAAUGGCAAGUACAAAGAGACGCAAUACCGCGAGGUGGAGCAAAACUCAAAAACUUGUCUCAGUUCGGAUUGUAGGCUGAAACUCGCCUACAUGAAGCUGGAGUUGCUAGUAAUCGCGAAUCAGCAUGUCGCGGUGAAUACGUUCCCGGGCCUUGCACUCACCGCCCGUCA